UACGUAGGGUGCGAGCGUUGUCCGGAAUUACUGGGCGUAAAGAGCUCGUAGAUGGUUUGUCGCGUUGUCCGUGAAAACUCACAACUCAAUUGUGGGCGUGCGGGCGAUACGGGCAGACUGGAGUACUGCAGGGGGAGACUGGAAUUCCUGGUGUAGCGGUGGAAUGCGCAGAUAUCAGGAGGAACACCGGUGGCGAAGGCGGGGUCUCUGGGCAGUAACUGACGCUGAGGAGCGAAAAGCGUGGGGGAGCGAACAGG
Molecule: ribosomal RNA, 257 nt
Filed under: uncultured bacterium
Lineage: Bacteria
Description: partial 16S ribosomal RNA
Rfam family: Bacterial small subunit ribosomal RNA
Source: RNAcentral